AAAAACAUAUCUAAUAGAAAUAAUUAUUAGUACAACCUGCUCAAUGAAUCUUCAAUAGCCGCAGUUUAUACUGUGCUAAGGUAGCAUAAUCAUUUGUCUUUUAAUUAAAGACUAGAAUGAAAGGUCACACAUUUAAUUACCUUUUUAAAACCUUAUUUUUAAAUUAUUCUAAAUGUAAAAAAACAUUUAUUCAAUAGAAAGACGACAAGACCCUAUUGAACUUAACUUCAGUUUAACUGGGGCAGUUAAAUAACAAAAUUUUAUUUAAAUUUUUUAAGUAAAUUGACCUAUUAUAAAUAAUUUAAUGAUCAAGUUACCAUAGGGAUAACAGCGUAAUAAUUUUCUUUAGAUCUUAUAUAAAAAAAUGAUUACGACCUCGAUGUUGAAUUAAUUUAACUAAUACACGCAAAAGUGUAUGUAGAAAGUCUGUUCGACUUUUAAAAAAUUACAUGAUCUGAG
RNAcentral lists this ribosomal RNA (459 nucleotides) under Yiinthi sp. 2 IA-2013. Its description in RNAcentral is "partial 16S ribosomal RNA". It matches the Rfam family "Bacterial large subunit ribosomal RNA", at positions 1809 to 2609 of the family's 2925-position model. Lineage: Eukaryota; Metazoa; Arthropoda; Arachnida; Araneae; Sparassidae. The record is from RNAcentral.